Ochotona princeps (American pika) is the source of this 138-nucleotide ribosomal RNA. Lineage: Eukaryota; Metazoa; Chordata; Mammalia; Lagomorpha; Ochotonidae. The record is from Ensembl.
GUCUAUGGCCAUAGCACCCUGAACGCACCCGAUCUCGUCUGAUCUCAGAAGCUAAGCAGAGUCGGGCCUGGUUAGUACUUGGAUGGGAGACAGUAGGUUUAUGGCUCACUCCUGCCUAGGAGGAGGCCACCUUUGUUU